This is a non-coding RNA of Mycena galericulata, 92 nucleotides long. Lineage: Eukaryota; Fungi; Basidiomycota; Agaricomycetes; Agaricales; Mycenaceae. The record is from the annotation of a GenBank genome assembly.
UGCCCGGUGGUGUAUCGUCAACACGUCCUCUUAUUAUAGAUAAUGUCGUUGUAGUCUCGAGGAAAUGCCCCGUUCGACUCGGGGUCGGGCCU